UGCAUGAUAAGCAAACACUCUAUCAACUGAGAUACCUGUAUUUAUCUGCUUUUUAAGAUGACCUGCCUGUACUGCUUAAGCAGGCCCAAAGUUCCUUAGUUCACAAAACCUUUGGAAUAGCUGGGACUACAGCCAAGUGUCACAGCACCAGACUUCAUACUGCUUUUCUGAAAACAGACUUUUUAAGUGUCUGAUUCAAGAAUGUUUUAAAAGUAAACUGCCAUAAGUUACACAAGUAUCACUACAAUGCAAUUGUGGAAAAUAUCACCCUACUCCUCUAUAGUGUACCUUUUUAGCGUUGUUUUCGUGGUAUUGAGGAGGGAAUCCAGAUCUCCCACUUGGCAGAGCUCUUGCCAAUCGGACCGAACCCCUAAUUUCUAUCAGGUAUGGUUCAACAACAUAAAAAAUUUUCUUACCUAGGUCGAUUUGUCUCAAAACAAAUACUGUUUAAAGGGUCUACCAAAACAUCUCAAAAACGGGUCAUUAAAACUUGUUUGUGCUGUGGAACGACUCUCCCAUUCAGCUAAUGAUUUGACACGAUCUGAGAUUCAGAACCUUCCUAUCCCCAGACCUUCUACCCUAGUGGACACAGUUCUCAUGGUGGGAAAAUACUUCCCCCGAGUAUUACAAAUCGUCGUAGGACUUCCUCCUAGAUCAGACGUUCAAGUUUAUUUUCUUUCCGCUUUCUUGGCAAAGGCCCAGCACGUGUGAAUCGAAACACAACCCAGAUCGUCCGGACGCUAAAGGCUAUCGGGUAGGGGUGGUCCCCUUUCAUUAACACAACUCCCUCUCCCCGUGGAACACGUACAGCAGAGCCGGUGAGCGCCCCAUAAUACUCGAUCUGAAUUGGGCACAAGAGUCCCGGAUCAUCAAACUUGAACUUUCCUUUCUACCAAGGUUCCAGAAAAGAGGCCCGUGGGGCCAGCAAGCAAGCAAGCAUUUUAACGUGUACCCUAAAGAGAUAGUUGCACAAGAAUUUAACAGGUAACAAUCACGGAGGAGACAAACCGGAUGCGAUCGGCUCGACCGUACCAAUGGCCUUCCGCGAUCACACGUCUGCGGCGCAAACCCAAAGUUUUGAGCACAUUACUUGGUACUUCACUCGAGCACCAUCGCAACCAACCGAGAUGAAGAACGCUGAGAAAGGGGGGGAAAAGGGUGCCGGGGAAUCAACACAUCGCUUUCAACUCAAGAUGGGCUGGAGAGACAGGGAUGGUAUAGAGGACUGAACCUUCACGAUGGAUUUUGGGAGCUGUAGAUCUGCUUCUGCAUUUCCUGGCCAUAGAGAGUUCCAACCAAUGGCAGGAGCCUCUGAACCCACAAACUCAAAUAAACCUUUCCUCCCUUUGAAUGGAUUUGGGGGUGUACUGAAGCAGUGGGAACCCUGACGGACGCAAAAGGAGCUUCCUUACCUUAACCAUUGAACUGUCAAGCCAAGUAGAAGCCCUCACUGUGGACCAGCUGCCUCGCAUCGUGCUCCGGCUUCACUGGCCUUUCUCCAUCCUCACCUCAGCUCCAGGACCUGGCUUUGUCACACAGAGAUCCAUCCCAGGUGCAGUGUUUUGUCUGUGUAUCUGUAUGUGCAUUAUGUAUGUGCAGUUCCUGCAGAGGCCAGAAGAGGGCGUCAGAUCCUGGAACUAGAGUUGCAGAUGGUUGUGAACUGCUAUGUGGGUGCUGAGAAAUGAACCUGGGUUCUCUGUAAGAGCAACAAGAGCUCUUAAAUGCUGAUCCAUCUCUCCAGCCCAGAUGAAGCAACGGUGGCUGACAGAGGGGACUUUUGGACAGCACCAGCCACCAGCUGGAGUGGCUGCCCUGGGCAAACAGAACCCCCUUCCCUUACUGUCCUUAGAGACUCAGAAUGCUGGAGGCCACCCCUUCCCUCCCCAAAUCAGAGCCACCAUGCUCUGCUGCCAUGUGACAAGGCAGGGGCACUGGGGCCCAUCUGUGCUGGAUGUCAAGGCAGAGGCAGGCUGCAAGGCUGGCCUGGGUUCCCUGCCCGCAUCUCAGCCCUUGCAAGGCAGUUGCUGCGGUAUCCCACGGGGCCUCUGAUGGGAAAUCUUUCCCCUCCAGGGACCCCUGGAAAGUGAUCUCCAACCCUUUCACCUACAAGUUUUGGAGAUAGAGUCUUGCCAGAUAGCUCAGGCCCACUUGAAUUUGCAGUCCCCCUGCCUCAGCCUCCUAAGCACUGUGAUCAUAAGUGUGCACCACCAUUUCCACAGACCCACAGACCCAUGACCGCAGCAUCUACAGUCAGAUUUGAUGGUAUACAUCUCUAAUCUCAGCACUCAAGAGGCUGAGGCAGGAGGAUUGUUGCCAGUUUGAAGGAAUGCAUAAUAAGACCCUGCCUGAAAACCAACAAAUAAAAAUAAACAAGUGCCACAUAGAUAGUGAUGAUUCCCAAGUUUAAAUAAACAUUAUUAACAUGA
Molecule: long non-coding RNA, 2426 nt
Organism: Peromyscus californicus insignis
Lineage: Eukaryota; Metazoa; Chordata; Mammalia; Rodentia; Cricetidae
Exons: 6
Source: RefSeq, a predicted model, not a curated record